This 460-nucleotide ribosomal RNA is filed under the name uncultured bacterium. RNAcentral's name for it is "partial 16S ribosomal RNA". It matches the Rfam family "Bacterial small subunit ribosomal RNA", at positions 338 to 795 of the family's 1533-position model. The record is from RNAcentral.
CCUACGGGGGGCAGCAGUGAGGAAUAUUGGUCAAUGGGCGCGAGCCUGAACCAGCCACGUAGCGUGAAUGAUGACUGCCCUACGGUUGUUAAACUUCUUUUAUAAAGGAGUAAAGUGAGGCACUUGUGCCUUUAUGUAUGUACUUUAUGAAUAAGGAUCGGCUAACUCCGUGCCAGCAGCCGCGGUAAUACGGAGGAUCCGAGCGUUAUCCGGAUUUAUUGGGGUUAAAGGGAGCGUAGAUGGGUUGUUAAGUCAGUUGUGAAAGUCUGCGGCUCAACCGGAAAAUUGCAAUUGAUACGGGCAGACUUGAGUACAGUUGAGGUAGGCGGAAUUCGUGGUGUAGCGGUGAAAUGCGUAGAUAUCACGAAGAAAUACGAUUGCGAAGGCAGCUUACUAGACUGCAACUGACAUUGAUGCUCGAAAGUGUGGGUAUCAAACAGGAUUAGAUACCCUAGUAGUC